This is a long non-coding RNA of Rosa chinensis, 348 nucleotides long. RefSeq lists it as uncharacterized. The record is from RefSeq and is a predicted model, not a curated record. The transcript is spliced from 3 exons. NCBI's taxonomy places the organism in Eukaryota, Viridiplantae, Streptophyta, Magnoliopsida, Rosales, Rosaceae.
AAUUCGACAGGUACAAGUGGUCACAAUUUUUUCUUCUAAAUUGUUGGGAACCAUCAUUCUAAUGGUUGAGUAUCUAGCUUUAGAGUCAAAUCCUUGUCUGAUUUAAUGCUUACGUUAUAAAUAUUUGAUAUUUCAGGUAAAGUGACUCGGUCACCAGCUCGAUUAUCCUCUAUGUAUUCUGUGUAGUGCAGUUGUUGGUUUGAUAUCCACAUGAACAUUGAUAAAUUCCCUCUGGUGAAAUAUCCUGUGCUGGUAAUAUAUGGUUAUGUGAACAAUUUGAUGCAAGGGAGAAGUAACAGCAGUCAAUGGGAGAGUUUGUGUAAAUUGUUCAGCAGCAUUGGGAGUCAU